UACAGAGGGUGCGAGCGUUCAUCGGAAUUACUGGGCGUAAAGCGCGCGUAGGCGGUUUUGUAAGUCGGAUGUGAAAGCCCCGGGCUUAACCUGGGAACUGCAUUCGAGACUGCAUGACUGGAGUAUUGGAGAGGGCAGUGGAAUUUCCGGUGUAGCGGUGAAAUGCGUAGAUAUCGGAAGGAACAUCAGUGGCGAAAGCGACUGCCUGGCCAAAUACUGACGCUCAUGUGCGAAAGCGUGGGGAGCGAACAGG
RNAcentral lists this ribosomal RNA (253 nucleotides) under uncultured bacterium. Its description in RNAcentral is "partial 16S ribosomal RNA". It matches the Rfam family "Bacterial small subunit ribosomal RNA", at positions 524 to 776 of the family's 1533-position model. The record is from RNAcentral.